GACGAACGCUGGCGGCGUGCUUAACACAUGCAAGUCGAACGGAAAGGCCCUGCUUUUGUGGGGUGCUCGAGUGGCGAACGGGGGAGUAACACGGGAGUAACCUGCCCUUGCCUUUGGGAUAACUUCAGGAAACUGGGGCUAAUACCGGAUAGGAGCUCCUGCUGCAUGGUGGGGGUUGGAAAGUUUCGGCGGUUGGGGAUGGACUCGCGGCUUAUCAGCUUGUUGGUGGGGUAGUGGCUUACCAAGGCUUUGACGGGUAGCCGGCCUGAGAGGGUGACCGGCCACAUUGGGACUGAGAUACGGCCCAGACUCCUACGGGAGGCAGCAGUGGGGAAUAUUGCACAAUGGGCGGAAGCCUGAUGCAGCAACGCCGCGUGCGGGAUGACGGCCUUCGGGUUGUAAACCGCUUUCGCCUGUGACGAAGCGUGAGUGACGGUAAUGGGUAAAGAAGCACCGGCUAACUACGU
This 467-nucleotide ribosomal RNA is filed under the name uncultured bacterium. Its description in RNAcentral is "partial 16S ribosomal RNA". It matches the Rfam family "Bacterial small subunit ribosomal RNA", at positions 28 to 506 of the family's 1533-position model. The record is from RNAcentral.